RNAcentral lists this ribosomal RNA (383 nucleotides) under uncultured eukaryote. RNAcentral's name for it is "partial 18S ribosomal RNA". It matches the Rfam family "Eukaryotic small subunit ribosomal RNA", at positions 592 to 976 of the family's 1831-position model. The record is from RNAcentral.
CAAUAGCGUAUAUUAAAGUUGUUGCAGUUAAAAAGCUCGUAGUUGGAUUUCUGGUGGGAGCGAUCGGUCUGGCGCUUAGCGCGAGUACUUGCAUCGUCUCCGGCCAUCCUUGGGGAGAGUCUGUCUGGCAUUAGGUUGUCGGGCAGAGGAUCCUCAUCGUUUACUGUGAAAAAAUUAGAGUGUUCAAAGCAGGCUUAUGCCGUUGAAUAUAUUAGCAUGGAAUAAUAAGAUAGGACUUUGGUACUAUUUUGUUGGUUUGCGCACCAAAGUAAUGAUUAAUAGGGACAGUUGGGGGUAUUCGUAUUCCGUUGUCAGAGGUGAAAUUCUUGGAUUUACGGAAGAUGAACUACUGCGAAAGCAUUUACCAAGGAUGUUUUCAUUAA